GUGUGAAGCUGAAGAUUCUCAAGAUGAAGACAAAGUCGCAUAAGAAGUCUGAAGCUAAGACACAUCACUGAGUUGCGGAUCUGCUGGUCUUGGGUUGAAAUAAAAAGUUUGAGUAUUUUGAAUCGUUCCUAUCAUUUUAAUCCUUUGCAAAGAUGGUGCUUGAUUCAGAGUAUUGUGAACAUUUUGAAUUUUGUUUCAUCUUCAGAAUCAUUAGAAUGGU
Molecule: unclassified non-coding RNA, 220 nt
Filed under: Hevea brasiliensis (rubber tree)
Lineage: Eukaryota; Viridiplantae; Streptophyta; Magnoliopsida; Malpighiales; Euphorbiaceae
Source: RNAcentral